RNAcentral lists this transfer RNA (74 nucleotides) under Gammaproteobacteria bacterium. Its description in RNAcentral is "tRNA-Cys". It matches the Rfam family "tRNA". From Rfam's summary of the family: Transfer RNA (tRNA) molecules are approximately 80 nucleotides in length. Their secondary structure includes four short double-helical elements and three loops (D, anti-codon, and T loops). The record is from RNAcentral. Lineage: Bacteria; Pseudomonadati; Pseudomonadota; Gammaproteobacteria.
GGCUCAGUGGCAGAGUGGCUAUGCAGCGGAUUGCAAAUCCGUGAACGUCGGUUCGAUUCCGGCCUGAGCCUCCA